GGAUCCAAAGCCAUUUCUCAAGUUCAUUGGAAACCUGGGGAUUCGCAUUUUUGGAGUGGCGUGAUGAAAGCCAAGGAAUUGUUUUUCCAAUUUGGGACCUUCUCGGUUAGGGACGGUUCUCAGGUUCGAUUCUGGGAAGACACCUGGCUAGGAAACAACCCUCUAAUGGUGCAAUAUCCAAGCUUGUACAGGAUUGUCAGACAUAAAUUUGUCAAGAUCAAACAAGUUUUUAGGACAACAAAACCCUGA
This 249-nucleotide ribosomal RNA is filed under the name Triticum aestivum (bread wheat). Its description in RNAcentral is "partial small subunit ribosomal RNA". The record is from RNAcentral. Lineage: Eukaryota; Viridiplantae; Streptophyta; Magnoliopsida; Poales; Poaceae.